Molecule: ribosomal RNA, 369 nt
Filed under: Carios vespertilionis
Lineage: Eukaryota; Metazoa; Arthropoda; Arachnida; Ixodida; Argasidae
Description: partial 12S ribosomal RNA
Source: RNAcentral
GGAUUAGAUACCCUAUUAUUUUAAAAAGUUAUUAAGGUAGUGAGUAAAAUGUAUUAAAUCUAAAGAUUUUGGCGGUGUUUUAAGCUUUUUAGAGGAAUUUACUCUUUAAUUGAUAUAACACAAACAUCUUACUUAAUUUGGUAAUGGCAGUUUGUAUAUCGCUAUCAUUUAAUAAAGUUGAAUAAUUUUUUAUUAAGCUUAAGAUUUUUAUUAAUGUUAGGUCAAAAUGCAGCUUAAAAUUAAGGUUGAAGUAGAUUACAUUUAUUUAUAUUAAUGUAUGUAUGAAAAGUUUUUUUUGGAUUUAAAAGUAAGAUGGAAUUAUAAUGUUUAUCUGAAUCUAGUUCUAGAACAUGCACACAUCGCCCGUCG